RNAcentral lists this ribosomal RNA (460 nucleotides) under uncultured bacterium. RNAcentral's name for it is "partial 16S ribosomal RNA". It matches the Rfam family "Bacterial small subunit ribosomal RNA", at positions 338 to 795 of the family's 1533-position model. The record is from RNAcentral.
CCUACGGGAGGCAGCAGUGAGGAAUAUUGGUCAAUGGGCGGAAGCCUGAACCAGCCAAGUAGCGUGCAGGAUGACGGCCCUACGGGUUGUAAACUGCUUUUAUACGGGAAUAACGCGCCUUACGUGUAGGGCUUUGCAUGUACCGUAUGAAUAAGGACCGGCUAAUUCCGUGCCAGCAGCCGCGGUAAUACGGAAGGUCCGGGCGUUAUCCGGAUUUAUUGGGUAUAAAGGGAGCGUAGGCCCCAUGUCAAGCGUGCGGUGAAAUGUCCGGGCCCAACCCGGGCCUUGACGCGCGAACUGGCGUGCUUGAGUCCGCGGAAAGCAGGCGGAAUUCGUCGUGUAGCGGUGAAAUGCUUAGAUAUGACAAAGAACCCCGAUUGCGAAGGCAGGUUGCUGCAGCGGAACUGACGCUGAUGCUCGAAAGCGCGGGUAUCGAACAGGAUUAGAUACCCCUGUAGUC